This 433-nucleotide ribosomal RNA is filed under the name uncultured bacterium. Its description in RNAcentral is "partial 16S ribosomal RNA". It matches the Rfam family "Bacterial small subunit ribosomal RNA", at positions 29 to 507 of the family's 1533-position model. The record is from RNAcentral.
AACGAACGCUGGCGGCAUGCCUAACACAUGCAAGUCGAACGAGACCUUCGGGCCUAGUGGCGCACGGGUGCGUAACGCGUGGGAACCUGCCCUUAGGUUCGGAAUAACUCCCCGAAAGGGGUGCUAAUACCGGAUAAUGUCUUCGGACCAAAGAUUUAUCGCCUUUGGAUGGGCCUGCGUUGGAUUAGCUAGUUGGUAGGGUAAAAGCCUACCAAGGCGACGAUCCAUAGCUGGUCUGAGAGGAUGAUCAGCCACACUGGGACUGAGACACGGCCCAGAAUCCUACGGGAGGCAGCAGUGGGGGAUAUUGGACAAUGGGCGAAAGCCUGAUCCAGCAAUGCCGCGUGAGUGAUGAAAGUCUUAGGGUUGGAAAGCUCUUUUACCCGGGAUGAUAAUGACAGUACCGGGAGAAUAAGCUCCGGCUAACUCCGUG